Molecule: ribosomal RNA, 302 nt
Filed under: uncultured bacterium
Lineage: Bacteria
Description: partial 16S ribosomal RNA
Rfam family: Bacterial small subunit ribosomal RNA
Source: RNAcentral
GCAGCCGCCGCGGGAAUACGUAGGUGGCAAGCGUUGUCCGGAAUUAUUGGGCGUAAAGGGCUCGCAGGCGGUUUCUUAAGUCUGAUGUGAAAGCCCCCGGCUCAACCGGGGAGGGUCAUUGGAAACUGGGAAACUUGAGUGCAGAAGAGGAGAGUGGAAUUCCACGUGUAGCGGUGAAAUGCGUAGAGAUGUGGAGGAACACCAGUGGCGAAGGCGACUCUCUGGUCUGUAACUGACGCUGAGGAGCGAAAGCGUGGGGAGCGAACAGGAUUAGAUACCCCGGUAGUCCCUGUCUCUUAUAC